This 328-nucleotide ribosomal RNA is filed under the name uncultured bacterium. RNAcentral's name for it is "bacterial SSU rRNA". It matches the Rfam family "Bacterial small subunit ribosomal RNA", at positions 28 to 334 of the family's 1533-position model. The record is from RNAcentral.
GACGAACGCUGGCGGCGUGCUUAACACAUGCAAGUCGAACGGGCCUUGUCCCCUUUUUUUUGGGGUGGGGUUAGUGGCGAACGGGUGAGUAACACGUGAGUAACCUGCCCCUCCACUUCUGGAUAACCGCUUGAAAGGGUGGCUAAUACGGGGUGUUCUGGCCUGCUCGCAUGGGUGGGUUUGGAAAGAUUCGACCGGUUUGGUUGUUUUGGUGGGGGAUGGGCUCGCGGCCUAUCAGCUUGUUGGUGGGGUGAUGGCCUGCCAAGGCUUUGACGGGUAGCCGGCCUGAGAGGGUGGGCGGUCACACUGGGACUGAGACACGGCCCAG